GGGGCGGCCAGCCAGCUCUGAAAUCCGGUUAGGCUUUCUGGAGGUGGCGGGGAUCACAGUCUCCAAGUGCAGCCCGAAAUUCAGAGCGGGAGUGCUUCAGUUUCAGCUUCAGUUUCAGGCAGCCCACCCUGCCUAUACUCCCUACAGAUUUUAACACAUUUGUACUUGCAUAAAAACUGAACUUCGGUGCCAUCGCCUGCUGGGAUUUUCGCACAGGGAAGCUCGACUGAAAUCAGAGGGACUUUCUUGGAAGUAAAGCUUAGGUGUAGAGUGUCAAUCUACCUAAGAGCCUGAAGCCACACACCGAGGAAUAACCUCUGAAAUCUGAGGACCUUCCAAGUUACUUCAGAGAAAAGCCUGUGCGCACUAGCAACUUCCCAAAGGCCUGUGAAUGUGGUGUUGGUGUUGGUUUGCGACUCGUCGUGAGUGUGAUGGAGAGAGGCGCGGCCUCGCGUACGCAGGCGAAGGUGUUUCAUUAUCAGCCCUGGUUCCCGCCUCCGGCUUCCCGACAGGUCCCACCUGCUUCUGAACUCGCUUGCAUCGAGGCGUCACGGAUCUCUGGUCAUCUGAUGCCGGCCCAGAAGAAGGAGCGGGUCAUUGCGCUUGGGUGGGGUGAUGCGACGCCCAAAGGUUCUCUGUAGCUUGGGAGUGGGCUGAUGGGCGGAGAACACGUUCUGUCUUGGGCCACACGGACAACCGGGGAGGAAGGGAGGAGAGCGCCUUCACCGCCCUCCUCUAAUCAGUUCCGCCCAAAUGCCUCCAUUGCCGAUGGGAAGACCAUAAAACUGGAGCAAACCGCAAUCCACCGCAGUGAGAACCAGCAGUCGCGCAGAAUACUGUGAACAGGGCCUUUGCUGAUUUGGGCACGGAGAAAUCCUACCAGUAUGUCUGUCAAAUGGAAACAGUCCUCCCCUGGUUACCUCCUGCGCCGCCGCCGCCGCCUCCCCCACCCACCCCAGCUUCUGGAGAGCACGUCUACACUGCAAACCUCGGUCGGUUACUUGAACGGCCUGCGUGGCUGCCCUAAAACUACUUUUGCAAUUGUGGUUUUUGAAGGCACCUGGUCUCUCCCCCACCCCCCCAAGAAGCCCUCUCUAACCCACUUCCACAGAAGGGCGUUUCCAGGGUUCCUUGGAAGACCGGUGCAAAACCGUUUGUACUCUGGGCAUGUCAAAUAACCUCUUCUCCAUCUUUUACUCCAUUCUUCAAUUUGCUUCUGAAAUGCAUCACUUUCAUUUGAGGCAAAAGGCCUGUCAGGAAGGAGACAAGUCUCUGGCAAAAAGAAAAGAAAAGAAAGAAAGAAAGAAAAAAACCCAGGUGACUGUUCUAACGUUCUGUCUUCUCUACUUUAGCCAGCCUCAGAGGGGCACUUAGGCAGGGCCAGAUUAAGCUAGUGCGGGGCCUGUAACAUAUGUUAUAAAGGGGCCCUAAAUGUUUAAAAAAAAAAGCACAUAAAUAUUAAAACGUAAAUUAUUUACUUGCA
Molecule: long non-coding RNA, 1483 nt
Organism: Hemicordylus capensis (graceful crag lizard)
Lineage: Eukaryota; Metazoa; Chordata; Lepidosauria; Squamata; Cordylidae
Exons: 2
Source: RefSeq, a predicted model, not a curated record